UCCAGUUCCAGUUCCAGCCAGACUCGGAGCACACCAAUGUCUCGUCUCAUCCCCCGGCGGCUCCACCGCGCAGUCUCUGCCGGCGGCGCGACCUUCUCCUCCUCGAGACCCUCCUCAAAUCUCCGCAGCAGCGACCCCACCACCGCCGCCACCUCGAAUGCGAUCGUCAGCCUCGUCGCGGCAGGCGGCGAUGGCGGCAGCCUGGAGGCGGACCUGGACCGCCUCGGCCCGCCCCUCUCCGACGCCGCUGUGUCGGCGGCGCUCCGCGCGCUCACGGAGCGCGGCGUCCCCUCGUUCCGCUUCUUCGCCUGGCUCUCCCGGCACAGGGGCGUCCCCCCGAGCGCCCGCGCCCACAACCUGCUCGUCCAGAACGCCGGCAGGCUGGCCGACUACCCCGCCAUGGCCCGCGCCCUCGGGCAAGCGUCGGCGCGGCGGCUCUCCCUUACCGAGCAAGCGUUCGCGUUCCUGGAGGCCGCGGCGAGGUCGUCGAGCAGCGUGGAUGACGCGGUGAGGGCGACUCUGACGACUCUGGACGGUGUUGGCGGCCCGUGCCGCGCGUCCGGCGUGUUCUCGCUGGUCAAGGCGUUGGCCUCGAUCGGCGAGCUCGACGCGGCCGUGUGGGUGAUCGAGGAGACGGCGAGGAGGGCGAGCUACUACAACGUCCUCUUGGCUGCCAAGUGCAAGGCCGGCGACUUCCGGGGCGCCCACGAGCUGUUCGACGAAAUGAGGAAGGGGAGCUGCGGCCCGAAUGCCAACUCCUGGAACUACCUCCUCGGGUGCCUGCUGAAGAAUGGCAGGGCUACCGAAGCGUGCGACCUUGUUGAGACCAUGGAGAGGUCGGACCACGACGACAUCCCGAACUCACUGACGUACGAGAUCCUCACAUACCAUGCCUGCAAGGCGGGGAAGAUGGAUUCGGCAAGGCAGAUUCUCGAUCAGUUGUUCUCAGAAAAUCUGACGCCGAGGAUUACAAUCCACACAGCCUUCAUCAAAGGGUACUUCUAUGCUGGGAGAAUUGACGAUGCUUGCGAUUAUGUGAGGGCUAUGAGCACCAGGGAUUCACACUCCACGAACAGGAACUACAGCCUGCUCGCCAAGCUGUUGCACAGGUCGGGGAGGAUCGUCGAGGCUGGAAGUGUCCUGUAUGAGUUGAUGGAGAAGGGCCUCAGGCCUGACCAUUCUGCUUAUGUUACAGUGUCCAAAGGUUUGCACAAGAUGGGAAGGGGAGAUCUGUGUGCUGAACUGAAGUCCUUGUUUCAGAAAUUCAUUGCACAGUCAGGUAGCUGGUAGCGAGAAUCAAUGGCACCCGCUGGUGCUACUCAAGCCAGGAACUGUCGAUGAUGCUCCGGCUUCUCCAGCUGCUCAAGCCGUGGUUUGGCAGCCUCCACCCGCUCCUGCAGUUUCGGAUGGUGCUGAGCACCUCCUCCAAGGCCCUGAACACCUAGGAGGAGGACGUCCAGAUGGUUCAUGGAGCACACUUGAGCCCACUUUGGCCGACAACAUGGUUGGCGGAAACCAGAUGCUUACCAGUUCCUCCAAAAGCUUCCCUGGGCACGUAAUUCGUGAACCUCCCCGCAGAUUAAUGGCGUCCAUGCCACGGUCCCAGCUGCUGCUGCUCGUAUCGCAGCAGGGGAAACGACCCUAGAACUAUCUUGGGAGAUCAAGAAUGUUUCCUAAGCACCGGACUCAUGAACCCGGACAUCCUUCUGGAAGAAAGGCGCAGCCUGCAAGAUCCUGAUACGGUGGGCUGGAAUCAAGAUCUCGGCUGUUGCGUAGUACUACCACUGUCAUAAAUAGGGGUAUUCAUUUUGUAUGCUGCUCCAGUCGAAUUGGUCAAGAAAUGUGCACGUUCAAAACAAAGGUGUGCUGUGUUAUUGAACUUUGCUGCUUUGCAUCGCACUCCUAGAUGUUUGUUGACCAUUACCGGAUCAAUAUCAUAUCAAACUUGUAAGGCUGUAACUCACAUAUGUUCUCUGUAAAUCAGCCUGGGUAAAAGAGGAUCAGUGAUGUGGGUGAUGGCCCGAUGGAUGUGCCUAUGUGAAGCUCUUAACUUUCA
Molecule: RNA transcript, 2056 nt
Organism: Triticum aestivum (bread wheat)
Lineage: Eukaryota; Viridiplantae; Streptophyta; Magnoliopsida; Poales; Poaceae
Gene name: pentatricopeptide repeat-containing protein At3g04760, chloroplastic
Exons: 3
Source: RefSeq, a predicted model, not a curated record